UACCAGCUCCUCGAGUGGUCGGGGCGAUUAUUGGGCCUAAAGCAUCCGUAGCCGGUUCCGUAGGUCUUCUGUCAAAUCCAACGGCUCAACCGUUGGCCCGCAGAAGAUACCGCGGGACUAGGAGGCGGGAGAGGUGGGCGGUACUCCACGUGUAGGGGUAAAAUCCUUUGAUCCGUGGAAGACCACCAGUGGCGAAGGCGGCCCACCAGAACGCGCUCGACGGUGAGGGAUGAAAGCUGGGGGAG
Molecule: ribosomal RNA, 245 nt
Filed under: uncultured archaeon
Lineage: Archaea
Description: partial 16S ribosomal RNA
Rfam family: Archaeal small subunit ribosomal RNA
Source: RNAcentral